CAGUCGCCGCGGUAAUACGAAGGGGGCUAGCGUUGCUCGGAAUGACUGGGCGUAAAGGGCGCGUAGGCGGCGAUCAAAGUCAGGCGUGAAAUUCCUUGGCUCGACCUGGGGGCUGCGUUUGAUACUUGAUUGCUAGAGUGGGGAAGAGGGUCGUGGAACUCCCAGUGUGGAGGUGAAAUUCGUAGAUAUUGGGAAGAACACCGGUGGCGAAGGCGGCGACCUGGUCCUUGACUGACGCUGAGGCGCGAAAGCGUGGGGAGCAAACAGGAUUAGAUACCCCGGUAGUCCCUGUCUCUUAUAC
Molecule: ribosomal RNA, 301 nt
Filed under: uncultured bacterium
Lineage: Bacteria
Description: partial 16S ribosomal RNA
Rfam family: Bacterial small subunit ribosomal RNA
Source: RNAcentral